GGUAUCCCUACCCUUCUUUAUAUAUUCCACGGGACGGGGUUCUUAGUAGGAUUACAAAGUAGAAGUCCUAAUAGUAUUACAAGGUAUGAGUCCUAAUAGGAUUACAGUGGAAUCCUAUUAGGAAUCAGACUUCUUUUCCCCCACGGGUAGCUUCCUUGCGGUACCCAGGGGAUCUAUCCCUGACAAUCCCCCAGCUCUUCAUAGCCGAGUACUGCAGAUAUUUCGAGUACUUCUGAAGUAAUCUUCGGCUUCUUCUGAAACUCCAUCUUAAAGGUCUUCUUCGAGUACUUCCUUGGUUGCAUCGAGGUUGUGAGGUGCUCAUGCCCCGAAUAGCUUCAAGUCUUCUUUUGUAUGGUGUGCGAUGGAAAAUCGCACUCCAUAUGGAGUAGCCCCAAGGCUUAGGUUAAAUCGAAGAAUCAAGCUGAUGGUCAAAUUAGUUUUAAAUCUUCUUUUCUUAUCCUUCGAGUAUAUUCGAAAAAAUAAAUAGUCGAUGACACGUAUCCUGCUGUCCCUGAGCCUUGAAUCCAAAACCCUUAGGUUCGGAAAAAGGAUCCAAGAAUCAUGGCAUUGGUGUUACUCUGAAAUCCUCAGAAAAAACUCUUCACCUUCUGCAUAGUGAAAUUGAGCCUCCCGCUAGUUUAUUUAACCGCGCGGUGACUUAGGGUUUCUUCUGCACUCUCAGUCUUCAUAUGAGUCGUCUUCGAGUAGUUUUGCGACGUCCAGCCCUCGAGC
RNAcentral lists this long non-coding RNA (732 nucleotides) under Panicum hallii. Its description in RNAcentral is "long non-coding RNA (PHAL_LNC000183)". The record is from RNAcentral. Lineage: Eukaryota; Viridiplantae; Streptophyta; Magnoliopsida; Poales; Poaceae.